This 1297-nucleotide ribosomal RNA is filed under the name uncultured bacterium. RNAcentral's name for it is "partial 16S ribosomal RNA". It matches the Rfam family "Bacterial small subunit ribosomal RNA", at positions 66 to 1345 of the family's 1533-position model. The record is from RNAcentral.
GGGGCAGCGGGAAGGUUAGCUUGCUAAUCUUUGCCGGCGACCGGCGCACGGGUGAGUAACACGUAUGCAACCUGUCCGGUACAGGGGGAUAAGCGGCGGAAACGCCGUCUAAUACCGCGUGACAACCCGAGGGGGCAUCCCCUUGGGUUCAAAGGAGAGAUCCGGUACCGGCUGGGCAUGCGGCGCAUUAGCUAGUUGGCGGGGCAACGGCCCACCAAGGCGACGAUGCGUAGGGGUUCUGAGAGGAAGGUCCCCCACACUGGAACUGAGACACGGUCCAGACUCCUACGGGAGGCAGCAGUGAGGAAUAUUGGUCAAUGGGCGCAAGCCUGAACCAGCCAAAUCACAUAAAAAAAGACGGCCAUAAAAAAAAUAAACCUCUUUUCCCCCCCCCCCAACCCUAAACACAUCUACCCAAACUAAAUAAUACCCAAUNAAAAAGCAUCAACUAACUCCCUCCCACCAACCACAAUAAUACAAAUUAUACAAACAUUAUCCAAAUUUAUUAAAUUUAAAAAUAGCACAAACAAACUAUUAACCCAUCAAUAAAAAUUCAAAACUCAACCCUAUCAACCCCUCCCAACUCACAAUCUUAAAUAAACUAAAAAAUAUCCCCAAUCCUUNNUNUANCNNAUNAAAUGCAUAGAUAUCACGCAGAACGCCGAUUGCGAAGGCAGCAUACCGGCGCCCGACUGACGUGAGGGCACGAAAGCGUGGGGAUCGAACAGGAUUAGAUACCCUGGUAGUCCACGCAGUAAACGAUGAGCGCUAACUGUCCGGAGCGAGCGAGCUCUGGGUGGUACAGUGAAAGCGUUAAGCGCUCCACCUGGGGAGUACGCCGGCAACGGUGAAACUCAAAGGAAUUGACGGGGGCCCGCACAAGCGGAGGAACAUGUGGUUUAAUUCGAUGAUACGCGAGGAACCUUACCCGGGCUCAAACGUAAGCGGAAUAACGGUGAAAGCCGUUAGCUAUUUAUAGCCGCUUACGAGGUGCUGCAUGGUUGUCGUCAGCUCGUGCCGUGAGGUGUCGGCUUAAGUGCCAUAACGAGCGCAACCCCCAUCGCCAGUUGCUAACAAGUAACGUUGAGGACUCUGGCGAGACUGCCGGCGCAAGCUGCGAGGAAGGCGGGGAUGACGUCAAAUCAGCACGGCCCUUACGUCCGGGGCGACACACGUGUUACAAUGGCAGGUACAGAGAGAAGCCAUCCCGCGAGGGAGAGCGGAACUUUAAAGCCUGUCUCAGUUCGGAUUGGAGUCUGCAACCCGACUCCAUGAGGCUGGAUUCGCUAGUAAUCGC